This 935-nucleotide long non-coding RNA is filed under the name Pan troglodytes (chimpanzee). RNAcentral describes it as "long non-coding RNA NONPTRT012123". The record is from RNAcentral. Lineage: Eukaryota; Metazoa; Chordata; Mammalia; Primates; Hominidae.
CUUGGGAGAGAGGCGGGGCACGCGCGGUGGGCAGGCGGAUCCGCGCGGGCAGGAAACCCACUCUGGACCCAAUCUGAUAGGUUCAGUCGCCCCCUUCCCCGGUCCCUGACGCGACAACGGUCUCUGCCGCACUGGGAUUGGGCGGGCCCACAUGUCAAUCAAGCCCCCUGCGUGAUGUGGAGGGAGCGGAGGCUGCGCGGCGGAGAGUAGAGAGCUAGAGGGUGAGAAGCGCUGGGCCGGACCAGAACUGUCUUCGCUUUUCCCUCUGCGGCUGCUCUGGUUGGUUACUUUGAGCCUUCCUCCUCAGCGCCGCAGGAGAGACUUAACAGCAAAAAUGACUGUGUCCUGAGUUCAGCCCCCACUGCUCUGGGAGCUUCCCCCUGGUUUCUGCACCUGAAGAAUGUCAUCCCAGCCGAAGGUUCUUAGGAGCGGGGAGCGACAAAGAAAAACAAAGAAAAGCAGACCUGAAAAUUGGGACCUGGGAGAAAUGGGAACUCAAACCAAAAACAGGAAUCAUCCUUGCUAAUUAGUGCUGAGUGGAUCAGGGACUAACCAGAAUCAGGCAACAAGAAAAUGUAAGUCAAAACUUAUGAUCAGCCCUGGCAACAGAGCUAGACCCUGUCUCUACAAAACAAAAUUUUUUUUAAUCAGCUGGGCAUAGUGGCAUGUGCCUGUAGUCCCAGCCACUCUGGAGGCUGAGGUGGGAGGAUGGCUUGAGCCCAGGAAUUUGAGGCUGCAAUGAGCUAUGAUCACACCACAUCUCAAAACAAAAACAAAACUUAUCUAGGGACUACACGUGGAGCUUUGGAUAUGGGCAGCUAAUCUGUCUACGAUUAAAAACACACAGGUGGCUUACUUUAUUAAUCCAAAAUAAAAGAAUUUGGGAACACAAGAAAGGGAAAAAUGAGCCUCCAUGUCAAGACCUUUCCCAGAAA